UACGAAGGGGGCUAGCGUUGCUCGGAAUCACUGGGCGUAAAGGGUGCGUAGGCGGGUCUUUAAGUCAGGGGUGAAAUCCUGGAGCUCAACUCCAGAACUGCCUUUGAUACUGAAGAUCUUGAGUUCGGGAGAGGUGAGUGGAACUGCGAGUGUAGAGGUGAAAUUCGUAGAUAUUCGCAAGAACACCAGUGGCGAAGGCGGCUCACUGGCCCGGUACUGACGCUGAUGCGCGAAAGCGUGGGGAGCAAACGGG
Molecule: ribosomal RNA, 253 nt
Filed under: uncultured bacterium
Lineage: Bacteria
Description: partial 16S ribosomal RNA
Rfam family: Bacterial small subunit ribosomal RNA
Source: RNAcentral